Molecule: ribosomal RNA, 460 nt
Filed under: uncultured bacterium
Lineage: Bacteria
Description: partial 16S ribosomal RNA
Rfam family: Bacterial small subunit ribosomal RNA
Source: RNAcentral
CCUACGGGUGGCAGCAGUGAGGAAUAUUGGUCAAUGGACGAGAGUCUGAACCAGCCAAGUAGCGUGAAGGAUGACUGCCCUAUGGGUUGUAAACUUCUUUUAUAAAGGAAUAAAACGAGGCAUGCAUGCCUUUUUGUAUGUACUUUAUGAAUAAGGAUCGGCUAACUCCGUGCCAGCAGCCGCGGUAAUACGGAGGAUCCGAGCGUUAUCCGGAUUUAUUGGGUUUAAAGGGAGCGUAGAUGGGUUGUUAAGUCAGUUGUGAAAGUUUGCGGCUCAACCGUAAAAUUGCAAUUGAUACUGGCAGUCUUGAGUACAGUUGAGGUAAGCGGAAUUCGUGGUGUAGCGGUGAAAUGCUUAGAUAUCACGAAGAACCCCGAUUGCGAAGGCAGCUUACUAAACUGUGACUGACAUUGAUGCUCGAAAGUGUGGGUAUCAAACAGGAUUAGAUACCCUGGUAGUC